CAGUCGCCGCGGUAAUACGUAUGUCGCAAGCGUUAUCCGGAAUUAUUGGGCAUAAAGGGCAUCUAGGCGGCCAGGCAAGUCUGGGGUGAAAACCUGCAGCUCAACCGCAGGCCUGCCCUGGAAACUGCGUGGCUAGAGUGCUGGAGAGGUGGACGGAACUGCACGAGUAGAGGUGAAAUUCGUAGAUAUGUGCAGGAAUGCCGAUGAUGAAGAUAGUUCACUGGACGGUAACUGACGCUGAAGUGCGAAAGCUAGGGGAGCAAACAGGAUUAGAUACCCCAGUAGUCCCUGUCUCUUAUAA
Molecule: ribosomal RNA, 301 nt
Filed under: uncultured bacterium
Lineage: Bacteria
Description: partial 16S ribosomal RNA
Rfam family: Bacterial small subunit ribosomal RNA
Source: RNAcentral